Pipra filicauda (Wire-tailed manakin) is the source of this 215-nucleotide long non-coding RNA. RefSeq lists it as uncharacterized. The transcript is spliced from 3 exons. The record is from RefSeq and is a predicted model, not a curated record. Lineage: Eukaryota; Metazoa; Chordata; Aves; Passeriformes; Pipridae.
GUGCCUUUAGCUGGCAUUCAGGCUUUGGGUAACUAAUAGCACUGGUUAGUCAAGCCUACUGAAUACUUUGGGACUGGCAUGAUGUCUGGUAGGACCUAACCAUAAAAUUCUAGUAUACCGGGGGAAGCUAGGAGGCCACAUCCAGCCAAAAAUGGCUUCUCACCCUUCACUGCGAGAAGGCAAGGCAGUGCCCAUGGAGCCCAUUGAAACAGAGC